GGGGAUGUAAGUUUCGACAAGGUUAUUGCCCCAUUAAGUGCUUAGAGCGGUAUGACCGUUACACCGCUGAAAUCACAUCCGGUCAUUCAAAUAGGUGCAAAUCAUUCGCCUAAUUACGCUUACGCCUAACAUCGUUUAGGUAAAGCCAUCCUGGCCUUAAUGCUCGCUAGAGGAUCCCAGGGUGUCAUUCAGCGAGCUCUGUUGGAUAAGAAGUUCUCCAUUAUCCAAUUAAAAUGAAGGAGGAAUAGCCAAAGAUAAUUUUGUUGAUCUCUACUCUUUGGUGAAAUAAUAAAUCAACUACCUAAGUAAACACUUUUUGGGAAAAACUUUGGACGAGAGUUCAAUCUCUCCAUCUCCACCC
RNAcentral lists this transfer-messenger RNA (361 nucleotides) under Candidatus Yanofskybacteria bacterium RIFCSPHIGHO2_01_FULL_43_42. It matches the Rfam family "transfer-messenger RNA". From Rfam's summary of the family: Bacterial tmRNA, also known as 10Sa RNA or SsrA, is named for its dual tRNA and mRNA-like properties. Its role is to liberate the mRNA from a stalled ribosome. Lineage: Bacteria; Candidatus Yanofskyibacteriota. The record is from RNAcentral. RNAcentral also lists the same sequence under 3 other names.